Molecule: ribosomal RNA, 491 nt
Filed under: uncultured bacterium
Lineage: Bacteria
Description: partial 16S ribosomal RNA
Rfam family: Bacterial small subunit ribosomal RNA
Source: RNAcentral
GAUUGAACGCUGGCGGCAGGCCUAACACAUGCAAGUCGAACGGUAACAGGAAGAAGCUUGCUUCUUUGCUGACGAGUGGCGGACGGGUGAGUAAUGUCUGGGAAACUGCCUGAUGGAGGGGGAUAACUACUGGAAACGGUAGCUAAUACCGCAUAACGUCGCAAGACCAAAGAGGGGGACCUUCGGGCCUUUUGCCAUCGGAUGUGCCCAGAUGGGAUUAGCUAGUAGGUGGGGUAACGGCUCACCUAGGCGACGAUCCCUAGCUGGUCUGAGAGGAUGACCAGCCACACUGGAACUGAGACACGGUCCAGACUCCUACGGGAGGCAGCAGUGGGGAAUAUUGCACAAUGGGCGCAAGCCUGAUGCAGCCAUGCCGCGUGUAUGAAGAAGGCCUUCGGGUUGUAAAGUACUUUCAGCGGGGAGGAAGGGAGUAAAGUUAAUACCUUUGCUCAUUGACGUUACCCGCAGAAGAAGCACCGGCUAACUCCGUG